RNAcentral lists this ribosomal RNA (301 nucleotides) under uncultured bacterium. RNAcentral's name for it is "partial 16S ribosomal RNA". It matches the Rfam family "Bacterial small subunit ribosomal RNA", at positions 509 to 807 of the family's 1533-position model. The record is from RNAcentral.
CAGCAGCCACGGUAAUACGGAGGGUGCAAGCGUUAAUCGGAAUUACUGGGCGUAAAGCGCACGCAGGCGGUCUGUUAAGUCAGAUGUGAAAUCCCCGGGCUCAACCCGGGAACUGCAUUUGAAACUGGCAGGCUUGAGUCUUGUAGAGGGGGGUAGAAUUCCAGGUGUAGCGGUGAAAUGCGUAGAGAUCUGGAGGAAUACCGGUGGCGAAGGCGGCCCCCUGGACAAAGACUGACGCUCAGGUGCGAAAGCGUGGGGAGCAAACAGGAUUAGAUACCCCAGUAGUCCCUGUCUCUUAUAC